UACGUAGGCAGCGAGCGUUUGUUCGGAAUUACUGGGCGUAAAGAGUGUGUAGGCGGUGCUCUAAGUUCGGUGUGAAAUCUCCUGGCUCAACUGGGAGGGUGCGCCGGAAACUGGAGUGCUUGAGCGUGGGAGAGGAAAGCGGAAUUCCUGGUGUAGCGGUGAAAUGCGUAGAUAUCAGGAGGAACACCUGUGGUGUAGACCGGCUUUCUGGACCAUAGCUGACGCUGAGACACGAAAGCGUGGGUAGCAAACAGG
Molecule: ribosomal RNA, 255 nt
Filed under: uncultured bacterium
Lineage: Bacteria
Description: partial 16S ribosomal RNA
Rfam family: Bacterial small subunit ribosomal RNA
Source: RNAcentral